RNAcentral lists this transfer RNA (71 nucleotides) under Picromerus lewisi. RNAcentral describes it as "tRNA-Gln". The record is from RNAcentral. Lineage: Eukaryota; Metazoa; Arthropoda; Insecta; Hemiptera; Pentatomidae. RNAcentral also lists the same sequence under 1 other name.
UAUAUUCAGGUGUCAAGGAUGCACAGAAAAUUUUGAAUUUUCAGGUUAUGGUUUAAUUCCAUAGGAUAUAA